CCUACGGGAGGCAGCAGUAAGGAAUAUUGGUCAAUGGAGGCAACUCUGAACCAGCCAUGCCGCGUGCAGGAAGACUGCCCUAUGGGUUGUAAACUGCUUUUAUCCGGGAAUAAACCUGCUUACGUGUAAGUAGCUGAAUGUACCGGAAGAAUAAGGAUCGGCUAACUCCGUGCCAGCAGCCGCGGUAAUACGGAGGAUCCAAGCGUUAUCCGGAUUUAUUGGGUUUAAAGGGUGCGUAGGCGGCCUGUUAAGUCAGGGGUGAAAGACGGUAGCUCAACUAUCGCAGUGCCCUUGAUACUGAUGGGCUUGAAUGGACUAGAGGUAGGCGGAAUGAGACAAGUAGCGGUGAAAUGCAUAGAUAUGUCUCAGAACACCGAUUGCGAAGGCAGCUUACUAUGGUCUUAUUGACGCUGAGGCACGAAAGCGUGGGGAUCAAACAGGAUUAGAUACCCUGGUAGUCCACGCCCUAAACG
This 473-nucleotide ribosomal RNA is filed under the name uncultured bacterium. Its description in RNAcentral is "bacterial SSU rRNA". It matches the Rfam family "Bacterial small subunit ribosomal RNA", at positions 338 to 808 of the family's 1533-position model. The record is from RNAcentral.